Molecule: ribosomal RNA, 906 nt
Filed under: uncultured archaeon
Lineage: Archaea
Description: bacterial SSU rRNA
Rfam family: Archaeal small subunit ribosomal RNA
Source: RNAcentral
CCCUACUGCUAUCGGGGUGGGACUAAGACAUGCGAGUUGAGCGUCUCUAAGCCAUGGUAGAGACGCAGCGUACGGCUCAGUAACACGUGGCUAACCUACCCUUAGGACGGGGACAACCCCGGGAAACUGGGACUAAUACCCGAUAGGUGAGGAGGCCUGGAAUGGUUCUUAGUCGAAAAGGCGUUGAAACCAUGCUUUUCGACGUCGCCUAAGGAUGGGGCCGCGUCCGAUCAGGUUGUUGGUGGGGUAACGGCUCACCAAGCCUUUAACCGGUACGGGCCGUGAGAGCGGGAGCCCGGAGAUGGGCGCUGAGACAAGGGCCCAGGCCCUACGGGGCGCAGCAGUCGCGAAAACUCCGCAAUGCGCGAAAGCGUGACGGGGCUACCCCGAGUGCCGUCCGCUGAGGAUGGCUUUUCCCCGGUGUAAUGAGCCGGGGGAAUAAGGAGAGGGCAAGACUGGUGUCAGCCGCCGCGGUAAUACCAGCUCUCCGAGUGGUAGGGAUGAUUAUUGGGCUUAAAGCGUCCGUAGCCGGCUUAGCAAGUCUCCUGUUAAAUUCAGCGACCUAAUCGUUGAGCCGCGGGAGAUACUACUAGGCUAGGAGGCGGGAGAGGCCGACGGUAUUCUCGGGGUAGGGGUGAAAUCCUAUAAUCCCGGGAGGACCACCAGUGGCGAAGGCUGUCGGCUAGAACGCGCUCGACGGUGAGGGACGAAAGCUGGGGGAGCGAACCGGAUUAGAUACCCGGGUAGUCCCAGCCGUAAACGAUGCGGGCUAGGUGUUGGGGUGGCUACGAGCCACUUCAGUGCCGCAGGGAAGCCAUUAAGCCCGCCGCCUGGGGAGUACGGCCGCAAGGCUGAAACUUAAAGGAAUUGGCGGGGGAGCACCACAAGGCGUGAAGCUUGCGGUUC